GAGAAUCACGCAAGCGCCUCUAGCGGCUGUCAAUGAGACAGCCACUAGAGGAAUUGAGGGCUGGAUUAACCCAUUUAUAAACAUAACAGUUUCUCUGAAACUGCUAUGUUUAUAAAAAAAAAAAGGGUUAAUCCUAACUGGACCUGGCAACCAGACCACUUCAUUAAGCUGAAGUGGUCUGGGUGCCUAGAGUGGUCCUUUAAUGGCAAAAGUUGUGAUUCUGAGAGUGAUCUUUAUAGCUGCAGCAAUCUGUGUAUUAAUUGUAUCACUUAUAUAGCUAGAGAUCUAAGGUAAAUAAAAUAAAUAGGACUUAAAAACAGUCGUAAACAAAAAGCAAACUGUCAAGAUUCCUGGCAGUGAAUGUUAAUGCCAGGGGGACAUUCUGACACAAACAAACUGCAAGGUGACAGAGACGUUUUUAUAUUAAAUGAUUAACUUUUUUUUUU
Pelobates cultripes (western spadefoot toad) is the source of this 446-nucleotide non-coding RNA. NCBI's taxonomy places the organism in Eukaryota, Metazoa, Chordata, Amphibia, Anura, Pelobatidae. The record is from the annotation of a GenBank genome assembly.